GCUUACGGCCAUACCACCCUGAGCACGCCCGAUCUCGUCUGAUUUGGAAGCUGAGCAGUGUCGGGCCUGGUUAGAACUUGCAUGGGAGACCGCGUGGGAAUACCAGGUGCUGUAAGCU
Molecule: ribosomal RNA, 118 nt
Filed under: Betta splendens (Siamese fighting fish)
Lineage: Eukaryota; Metazoa; Chordata; Actinopteri; Anabantiformes; Osphronemidae
Source: RNAcentral